CAAAAGUCCCUUGAACUUUCAAGCGAAUCCGCAAUUAAAUAUUCUGCCCAUGCGGGGAAGGAUGAGAAGCUUCGACUAAGGUUCGACUCGAGCGCCAGCGAGAGAGCGUUGCCGCAGGCAACGACCCGAAGGGCGAAGCGC
Molecule: small RNA, 141 nt
Filed under: Escherichia coli MS 85-1
Lineage: Bacteria; Pseudomonadati; Pseudomonadota; Gammaproteobacteria; Enterobacterales; Enterobacteriaceae
Description: RtT RNA
Rfam family: RtT RNA (bases 41-141)
About the family: This family represents a bacterial cis-regulatory element known as RtT RNA.
Source: RNAcentral